GGGUGAGGAAGCAUGGGUAACCUGCCCUUGAGAAUGGAAUAACCCGCCGAAAGGCGAGCUAAUACCGUAUACGCUUGUUGUCUUAUGGGAUAGCAAGGAAAGCUGUACCGAGGGUGCGGCACUCAAGGAGGGGCUCAUGUCCUAUCAGCUUGUUGGUAGGGUAACGGCCUACCAAGGCAACGACGGGUAGCUGGUCUGAGAGGAUGAUCAGCCACACUGGCACUGAGAUACGGGCCAGACUCCUACGGGAGGCAGCAGUGAGGAAUAUUGCGCAAUGGGCGAAAGCCUGACGCAGCGACGCCGCGUGGGGGAUGAAGGUUUUCGAAUUGUAAACCCCUUUCAGGAGGAAAGAUAAGGCGGGUUACCGCCUGGACGGUACCUCCAGAAGAAGCCACGGCUAACUUCGUGCCAGCAGCCGCGGUAAUACGAAGGUGGCGAGCGUUGUUCGGAUUUACUGGGCGUAAAGAGCACGUAGGCGGUUAGGUAAGCCUCUUGGGAAAGCUCCUGGCUUAACCGGGAAAGGUCGAGGGGAACUACCUAGCUAGAGGACGGGAGAGGAGCGUGGAAUUCCCGGUGUAGCGGUGAAAUGCGUAGAUAUCGGG
RNAcentral lists this ribosomal RNA (602 nucleotides) under uncultured bacterium. RNAcentral describes it as "bacterial SSU rRNA". It matches the Rfam family "Bacterial small subunit ribosomal RNA", at positions 104 to 701 of the family's 1533-position model. The record is from RNAcentral.